AUACGGAGGGUGCAAGCGUUGUCCGGAAUCACUGGGUGUAAAGGGUGUGUAGGCGGGAUUGUAAGUCAGAGGUGAAAUCCUACAGCUCAACUGUAGAACUGCCUUUGAUACUGCAAUUCUUGAGUUUCGGAGAGGUCAUUAGAAUUCGUGGUGUAGCGGUGAAAUGCGUAGAUAUCACGAGGAAUACCAGAGGCGUAGGCGGAUGACUGGACGAAUACUGACGCUGAGGCACGAAAGCGUGGGGAGCAAACAGGAUUAGAAACCCCGGUAGUCC
RNAcentral lists this ribosomal RNA (274 nucleotides) under uncultured bacterium. RNAcentral's name for it is "partial 16S ribosomal RNA". It matches the Rfam family "Bacterial small subunit ribosomal RNA", at positions 523 to 796 of the family's 1533-position model. The record is from RNAcentral.